GUCGGACGUGUUUCAAAGUUUAAUUGUUUAUGUUUAUAAAGCAAAUGGGUUAAUUGUAUGUACAAACCACUGUGAAGAUUCUGUCUCGAAUGUGGCUACAAUUACAAGAGAUAUAAAUAUCUUUGUGGCUGAAUCGUUAAAUCGUUUUAUUUUAUAAAGCGAACCAUGGGUUAUAAUUUGAAGGGUGUAAACGAAGUUAUCUUGUUACAACGGCCUGGGGAUUAUUCACAUACAUACGUACGCAGAGCGUUAUGGAAUGAUCCGACAUCAUUGGACCCGGAGGUGUAAUAAAUAUUAAAAUCAUCAUCAGACAAUGUUAAAUUGGAUUCCAUUUAUUAUCGAUCUCAACUAUGUGGGUCAUUCUUCUAAACUGUCUUGGUCAGUUAAGAUAAGUUGUUAUGAAUAGGGGUUUUUACGAAAUCAUGUUUUUACCCAACGAAGAAUGGUAAAUUAUUCGUAUGCCAUUUGCAGAAAUUAUUUCAUUUUAUAAAACUAAUUCCCAACAAAUAUUUGUUUAAUUAUUUCACCAAUAUUUAUUUAUCUCUUGUGCGAAAUAGGUUUAUUUUAAAAUAAAAAUAUUGAUAUGCAAAAAUUUUGCUCCCAAAGCAUUAUAGGGGUAUUACA
Long non-coding RNA from Tribolium madens (black flour beetle), 624 nucleotides. RefSeq lists it as uncharacterized. The transcript is spliced from 3 exons. The record is from RefSeq and is a predicted model, not a curated record. Lineage: Eukaryota; Metazoa; Arthropoda; Insecta; Coleoptera; Tenebrionidae.